CCUACGGGUGGCAGCAGUGAGGAAUAUUGGUCAAUGGCCGGAAGGCUGAACCAGCCAAGCCGCGUGAAGGACGAAGGUGCUAAGCAUUGUAAACUUCUUUUGUCAAGGGACAAAAUCAGGCUCGUGAGCCUGACCGAGGGUACUUGAAGAAAAAGCAUCGGCUAACUCCGUGCCAGCAGCCGCGGUAAUACGGAGGUGGCAAGCGUUAUCCGGAUUUAUUGGGUGUAAAGGGCGUGUAGGCGGGAAAGCAAGUCAGAUGUGAAAGCCAGGGGCUCAACCUGUGGCCUGCAUUUGAUACUGUUUGUCUUGAGUACUGGAGAGGCAGACGGAAUUCCUGGUGUAGCGGUGAAAUGCGUAGAUAUUAGGAAGAACACCAGUGGCGAAGGCGGUCUGCUGGACAGCAACUGACGCUGAGGCGCGAAAGCGUGGGUAGCGAACAGGAUUAGAUACCCUAGUAGUC
This 460-nucleotide ribosomal RNA is filed under the name uncultured bacterium. Its description in RNAcentral is "partial 16S ribosomal RNA". It matches the Rfam family "Bacterial small subunit ribosomal RNA", at positions 338 to 795 of the family's 1533-position model. The record is from RNAcentral.